Molecule: small RNA, 24 nt
Filed under: Pantoea ananatis
Lineage: Bacteria; Pseudomonadati; Pseudomonadota; Gammaproteobacteria; Enterobacterales; Erwiniaceae
Source: RNAcentral
GACCACGACCGCCUUCGCGGUUGA